GACCUUGUGGCGCAAUGGUAGCGUGUCUGACUCCAGAUCAGAAGGCUGUGUGUUCAAAUCACACCAGGGUCA
This 72-nucleotide transfer RNA is filed under the name Anolis carolinensis (green anole). Its description in RNAcentral is "tRNA-Trp (CCA) (tRNA-Trp-CCA-3-1)". It matches the Rfam family "tRNA". From Rfam's summary of the family: Transfer RNA (tRNA) molecules are approximately 80 nucleotides in length. Their secondary structure includes four short double-helical elements and three loops (D, anti-codon, and T loops). Further hydrogen bonds mediate the characteristic L-shaped molecular structure. tRNAs have two regions of fundamental functional importance: the anti-codon, which is responsible for specific mRNA codon recognition, and the 3' end, to which the tRNAs corresponding amino acid is attached (by aminoacyl-tRNA synthetases). tRNAs cope with the degeneracy of the genetic code in two manners: having more than one tRNA (with a specific anti-codon) for a particular amino acid; and 'wobble' base-pairing, i.e. permitting non-standard base-pairing at the 3rd anti-codon position. Lineage: Eukaryota; Metazoa; Chordata; Lepidosauria; Squamata; Anolidae. The record is from Rfam by way of RNAcentral.